Molecule: long non-coding RNA, 232 nt
Filed under: Daucus carota (carrot)
Lineage: Eukaryota; Viridiplantae; Streptophyta; Magnoliopsida; Apiales; Apiaceae
Description: long non-coding RNA (DCAR_LNC004213)
Source: RNAcentral
CGACCAACACUCUGAUAUACAUACAGUAACGUAAAUAUAUAUACACGCAGUCGGGGGAGCGUUUUAUAAUUCAUCAGAAUCACAGCUGCUCGUCGGAAUGGAGUCGCUUCUCGUCGGAACGGAGUCGCCGCCCGCCGGAUAUUGUCCUUCCCGCACCGCAUCUCCCGUAUCCCCAAGUAUCGGUCACCGAGAUUCGCCGCCACGCCACCUGGCAGCGGGGUGCGCGCACCGC